CUUCGGAUAGUCAUCAUCCUUUUAAGAAAGAAAAAAAGAAGAAAAAUAAAAAGAUACAAGGUGCUGGAAGUUAGACCCAGAAAUCCAAGUUCAAGACUGAUCAAAAUCAGACAUAGUGCUCUUUUGCAAGAAGUAGGAUCACUGAAAGAGGAACUGUCCUUAGUAUAUAGCUUCCCUUGACCCAAACAGGCAAAGAAGAAGAAGUAAUCGGUUGCUGGAUAAGGUACUUAUGUGAU
RNAcentral lists this long non-coding RNA (236 nucleotides) under Elaeis guineensis (African oil palm). Its description in RNAcentral is "long non-coding RNA (EGUI_LNC033792)". Lineage: Eukaryota; Viridiplantae; Streptophyta; Magnoliopsida; Arecales; Arecaceae. The record is from RNAcentral.